UUUUAUUUUAAAAUAUCGUUUUAGUGACAAUGAGUUUGUAUAAUUUAGUAGGAAUUUUGAUUUGAGAAUCGCAAAUUUAGUGAAAAAGUAAUUUUCCGUGAGAAAUUUUCUUGUUAUAUUUUGUUUAACUUGAAAACCACGAAGGCGAAUUCGACAAAUUUGAUUACUUGGGUGAUUUUUUACUUUUUUGCUUGCAACACGGAUAUUUUUUGUGAAGUUCAUUUUGAAAAUUUGAUUUUAUUGAUAUAAUUUUCAUUUAUAACUAACUCACUCAAGUCGAAUAAAUUACAACAACUUGGGUGUUGGUGCGCGAUUCUACGCGAAAUUUUAACCUGUUAACGAAACGAAAAGUAAAUGUAUUGCACGUUCCAUAAUGCGGUUUGCUAAAAAGUAGUUGAUUGUUGGAUAAAUAACAAAAAAAAUGAUUUUCCAUUCUUCAUGGGGGCUUUCCUAUGUGGACAAAGUUAUGUGUUUGUGCGCGAUUCGACGCGAAAUUUUAACCCGUUAACGGAACGAAAAAUAUAUAGUGUGCGAAUCGAUAAAGCAGUUUGCCAAAAGGAAGGUGAUUGUUGAAUAAAUAACAAAAAAACAUAUUUCUUCAAUUUUUGUAACAAAUAUGUAUUUUAAACUACAAAUAUAUGUGUUUCUAAAAUGGAAAUGCUGAUGCAUGAGAAAUAUAUAAAUACAUGUAAAAUUCUAUUUUCUAUUAUCGUUUUUCUGUGUCACGUUUUUUUCCAAAACUUAACCUGUCUGAAAAAAAAUUUUUUAUGUAAUAAAUUUUUUACAAAUUAAAUUUACAAAUAUAAAAAAAAUUAUAGAUAUCUGGAGAAUAAUAUUCAUAAGAAUUUGUCUUUUUAUGUUUGGUAUUUUCAGUUAAGUAAAUUGAAAGUAUGUGUGUGAUAAUUAUUGUAUCUUGUAUGCAUGUGUUAAAAAUUCCGUUUUGCAAUCUUCAUAUCGAUGGCUACUUCAUUUGUUAUAAAUUUUCGUUUUUCUUUCCCAAACUGGACCUGAAAUUUAAAAAUAUAAAAUGUAAACUUCGGAUCUGUGAAUUACUUUGAUAAUAAUUGAAUGAUAAAAUUAUUAUACACUGUUUUGUUCUUAUACAGAACUUAAUAAAAUUGAAUUUUUCGAAAUGAAAAUUACAUUUUUUUAAUAAUAAUUCGAAAAAAAAAACAUAUUUUCUGGACAUUUUAUUUUAUAAUCGACUGUGAACAAUUUAUUCAAACGUUAAUUGUUUCUAAGUUAUAUCAACCCUUAAAAAAAGAAAACUGCAUCUGUUUCUUUUUUAAUUUUGAAGGUUUUCUGCUCAAGUUAGUUGAAUGUAUAUGUGUAAUAAUAUAUUUUUCAAAAUAAAAGAUUUUCUCAAGAGUUUAUC
Long non-coding RNA from Diorhabda sublineata, 1375 nucleotides. RefSeq lists it as uncharacterized. The transcript is spliced from 3 exons. The record is from RefSeq and is a predicted model, not a curated record. Lineage: Eukaryota; Metazoa; Arthropoda; Insecta; Coleoptera; Chrysomelidae.